Molecule: ribosomal RNA, 432 nt
Filed under: uncultured Alphaproteobacteria bacterium
Lineage: Bacteria; Pseudomonadati; Pseudomonadota; Alphaproteobacteria
Description: bacterial SSU rRNA
Rfam family: Bacterial small subunit ribosomal RNA
Source: RNAcentral
AGAGUUUGAUCCUGGCUCAGAACGAACGCUGGCGGCAGGCCUAACACAUGCAAGUCGAACGAUGCCUUCGGGCAUAGUGGCGCACGGGUGAGUAACACGUGGGAACAUAUCUUUCGGUGGGGGAUAACUUCGGGAAACUGAAGCUAAUACCGCAUACGCCCCUUGGGGGAAAGAUUUAUCGCCGAAAGAUUGGCCCGCGUCCGAUUAGCUAGUUGGUGAGGUAAUGGCUCACCAAGGCUCCGAUCGGUAGCUGGUCUGAGAGGAUGACCAGCCACACUGGGACUGAGACACGGCCCAGACUCCUACGGGAGGCAGCAGUGGGGAAUAUUGGACAAUGGGCGCAAGCCUGAUCCAGCCAUGCCGCGUGAGUGAUGAAGGCCUUAGGGUUGUAAAGCUCUUCACCCACGACGAUGAUAACGGUAGUGGAGAGAG